UACAGAGGUGGCAAGCGUUGUUCGGAAUUACUGGGCGUAAAGGGCGCGUAGGCGGCCUUCUAAGUCAGACGUGAAAUCCCCCGGCUUAACCUGGGAACUGCGUCUGAUACUGGGAGGCUUGAGUAUGGGAGAGGGAUGUAGAAUUCCAGGUGUAGCGGUGAAAUGCGUAGAUAUCUGGAGGAGUACCGGUGGCGAAGGCGGCAUCCUGGACCAUAACUGACGCUGAGGCGCGAAAGCUAGGGGAGCAAACGGG
This 253-nucleotide ribosomal RNA is filed under the name uncultured bacterium. RNAcentral's name for it is "partial 16S ribosomal RNA". It matches the Rfam family "Bacterial small subunit ribosomal RNA", at positions 524 to 776 of the family's 1533-position model. The record is from RNAcentral.